This is a non-coding RNA of Sodiomyces alkalinus F11, 71 nucleotides long. Lineage: Eukaryota; Fungi; Ascomycota; Sordariomycetes; Glomerellales; Plectosphaerellaceae. The record is from the annotation of a RefSeq genome assembly.
AGGGUAUUAUCUUAAAGGUAAAGAGUAGUAUUACGGCUGCUGAGUUAUGAGUUCAAGUCUCAUAUACCCUU